GUCCAGACUCCUACGGGAGGCAGCAGUGGGGGAUAUUGCACAAUGGGGGGAACCCUGAUGCAGCGACGCCGCGUGGGUGAAGGAGCGUUUCGGCGCGUAAAGCCCUAUCGGCAGGGAAGAAGGAGGACGGUACCUGACUAAGAAGCCCCGACUAACUACGUGCCAGCAGCCGCGGUAAUACGUAGGGGGCAAGCGUUAUCCGGAUUUACUGGGUGUAAAGGGAGCGUAGACGGCAGUGCAAGUCCGGAGUGAAAGCCCGGGGCUCAACCCUGGGACUGCUCUGGAAACUGUAAAGCUGGAGUGCGGGAGGGGCAGGCGGAAUUCCUGGUGUAGCGGUGAAAUGCGUAGAUAUUAGGAGGAACACCAGUGGCGAAGGCGGCUUGCUGGACUGUAAAUGACGCUGAGGCUCGAAAGCGUGGGGAGCAAACAGGAUUAGAUACCCUCGUA
Molecule: ribosomal RNA, 447 nt
Filed under: uncultured bacterium
Lineage: Bacteria
Description: partial 16S ribosomal RNA
Rfam family: Bacterial small subunit ribosomal RNA
Source: RNAcentral